GAUGAACGCUGGCGGCGUGCCUAAUACAUGCAAGUCGAGCGAACAGACGAGGAGCUUGCUCCUCUGACGUUAGCGGCUGACGGGUGAGUAACACGUGGAUAACCUACCUAUAAGACUGGGAUAACUUCGGGAAACCGGAGCUAAUACCGGAUAAUAUAUUGAACCGCAUGGUUCAAUAGUUAAAGACGGUUUUGCUGUCACUUAUAGAUGGUUCCGCGCUGCAUUAGCUAGUUGGUAAGGUAACGGCUUACCAAGGCAACGAUGCGUAGCCGACCUGAGAGGGUGAUCGGCCACACUGGAACUGAGACACGGUCCAGACUCCUACGGGAGGCAGCAGUAGGGAAUAUUCCGCAAUGGGCGAAAGCCUGACGGAGCAACACCGCGUGAGUGAUGAAGGUCUUCGGAUCGUAAAACUCUGUUAUUAGGAAAGAACAAAUGUGUAAGUAACUAUGCACGUCUUGACGGUACCUAAUCAGAAAGCCACGGCUAACUACGUG
RNAcentral lists this ribosomal RNA (497 nucleotides) under uncultured bacterium. RNAcentral's name for it is "partial 16S ribosomal RNA". It matches the Rfam family "Bacterial small subunit ribosomal RNA", at positions 28 to 507 of the family's 1533-position model. The record is from RNAcentral.